AGAUUUUAUCGGAUGCAGCCCUACUAAAGCGACAACAGCUAGAGAUAGAAGAACUGCGUAGUCAACCUCAGGGUUCUCAUUCAGAGGUGCUGGAGCAGGAGAUCUUGAAACUGCGGAAGGACAUGUUAAAAUAUGAACUAGAACGUGAAAAGCUUGCCAUGGAGCUUGAGGAAGAGAGAAAAUCACAUAUGGAGUGGGAUUUGUGUAUUAAGGAG
Long non-coding RNA from Magnolia sinica, 215 nucleotides. RefSeq lists it as uncharacterized. Lineage: Eukaryota; Viridiplantae; Streptophyta; Magnoliopsida; Magnoliales; Magnoliaceae. The transcript has 3 exons. The record is from RefSeq and is a predicted model, not a curated record.